RNAcentral lists this ribosomal RNA (150 nucleotides) under Mucor flavus. RNAcentral describes it as "5.8S ribosomal RNA". It matches the Rfam family "5.8S ribosomal RNA". Rfam says of the family: 5.8S ribosomal RNA (5.8S rRNA) is a component of the large subunit of the eukaryotic ribosome. It is transcribed by RNA polymerase I as part of the 45S precursor that also contains 18S and 28S rRNA. Functionally, it is thought that 5.8S rRNA may be involved in ribosome translocation. The record is from RNAcentral. Lineage: Eukaryota; Fungi; Mucoromycota; Mucoromycetes; Mucorales; Mucoraceae.
AACUUUUAACAACGGAUCUCUUGGUUCUCGCAUCGAUGAAGAACGUAGCAAAGUGCGAUAACUAGUGUGAAUUGCAUAUUCAGUGAAUCAUCGAGUCUUUGAACGCAUCUUGCGCUCAUUGGUAUUCCAAUGAGCACGCCUGUUUCAGCA